Long non-coding RNA from Equus caballus (horse), 2385 nucleotides. RefSeq lists it as uncharacterized. The record is from RefSeq and is a predicted model, not a curated record. Lineage: Eukaryota; Metazoa; Chordata; Mammalia; Perissodactyla; Equidae.
GAUCAGGCUACUUCCUGAAGCAGUGAGACGGUUGUGUGGCCAGCUCGACUUAUCCCUUUCUUUGGCCCCAAACUCAUAUCACAGCUUCCCAUUUAUCCCACCUAGCUUGACGGCAGUUGACGAAAGUAGCCUUGGAAAUGUUUGUAAAAAGCCAAUUCCUGGAGAGCAGAGUAAGGGGGAAGAACGAAUCUGUUUUUUGAAUCUCCAAGGUUUCAAAGCAUGGAUAACUGAAGAUUCAUUAACUUAAGCACUAAUGAGUUUCUAAAUAAAGUUGAGAACUUCAGUUCACUACCCUCAUCGAGAAAAUUAUGGUCAAGUGUUGAGAAGGCACCCAGGGCUCUCCACCUGACUCCAUUCUUCACAUUCUCCCCCAGCACAGAAAUGGCCACAGGGAAAGCCUUCUAUCAAACUCUGUGACAUCUUGGCCACUCCACACAGAAAAGCUCCACUGAUGUAGAGAAGACCUCAUUACAGACAAACAAGAUGAUGAGAAUUAAGCAUCCCUAUGGACAAAGCCAAUUAGAAAAGACGAUGGUAACCGAAGCUGUAUAGUAACGUAAACAGUCUGGGAGAGCAACUUCUCAUUUUGGCGUAAUUGAGAGAGGAAAAUGACCCAACUCUAUUUGCUAAAGCUCUUCAGAUCCUGAAGAUUCAGAACUCUAUCUGACAAGCCAAAAUGGGUUAUCCUGAGAAAGAACUUGAAACUAAGAUUUAAGAUGGAUUUCAUAUUCUCUACCUUUGGGUAUUUUUAUUGGAAAGAGCAUGACACGGGUAGAACAGGAAGAAAAGGUGGUCAUCUCCAGGUCUUUGCUCUACAUGAAUUUUCCUGAGUAUCCAGAUACUUAGAAACAUCUGAAUACUUAAAUGGGACUAAUACAAUAUUUGGGUGACUGAAAACAUUGUUUCUUUUACAUAGAAAUAUUUGGACAUUUUGCAUAGGUUAUCUAAAAUAUCAAUGAUAUAAGGUAACAUAUCAAACAUAUGCUUUGUUCUUGGUGUGAUCCUUGUCUUCACUUGCUCGCAUGAUAGUGACUUUAGUUUGGAUGAUGUAGUGGUGCCUAGAUUUCCAACUAUGUCAGAAGAAUGGACUAAUAAUUCCACUCUGGCAGCCUGACUCACUGUAAACCCAUGGCUAAAAAGGCACACAGACCUACAGAGAAUGACAGCAUCAAUGGUAUGUUAUAGAAACUCAUGCUGCACUUCUCAAAAACAAAGUUUUCUGUCUUCACAGCUUUCAAUAUAGCACCUUGCACUGAUACUAAAUUUGCUGAUUGUUUUUUAAACAAGGAAGAAGUAUACAAACAGGGAAAUAAGGUGCCUGCAACACCCCCUGUUGAAAGCUGCAUUACUUAUUCUGCUAGAAUGAGUUUAUAUUGGAUAAAUCUAGUACGACGUGAAAACCCUAUUUCCAGCUGAGACUUAAAGAUGUUUUACUAAAACAUGCUUAAGCAAAUGCAUUUUGACGCCUCACGAGGAAGAUACACACAGAGCUAUCUGUAGAAGUUCAAUAAUUUGUGUAUUGGCAGCUGAAGAAAGAUGUUCUCUUUCUGAUUUGCACUCAAAGAUUUGCAUUGACUUAAUUUAAAAUUCAUGGUAUGCACAGUAGAAAUGGUUAAAUAUGACUUUUGGAUGAUAACUAACAAGGGAAAGUAACUUUUCCUUUCCUGUUCAGUAGUUAGCUAUGCUACUGAAACUCCACAUGCUCACCCAGAAACUGUCCUUUUAGCAGAGGGUCCCUUCACCGUGACAGCCUAAGACAAUGGGACUGCUCCUUCAACUGGCCUCUCUCCACCUUCCAGGAUCCCGAAAGUUUUGAAAUCCACCUCAAGCCCAGGCAGUAGCAAACUGGGAGAGGAAUUGAAGAAGCAAAAAUAAAUAUUAAAGUACAGAAGAAUUAAAUAUUACCUAUUUAAAUGGCAAUUAGGCAGUUGAAAACAAGAUCAUCACACCUGUACAAGAAAAGGCAUACAAGCCCAAAACAUCUGCUGGGAUCCACCUGCCAGGCACCUGUUUUGCUGUUUCAAUGCCAUUUGAUUGCUGGAGAUGUAGAGGCUCUUGUGAGGUAAUGAGUGAUUUUACAUUAUGCAUGAUUGAAAACAGGUGUUCUAAUGCUGUACAAUUCGAUGCAUGAAUAAUUCAGUUUGUUUAGAGCAAGAUCUUUCAAAGAAGUACUGCAUAGGCUUUAUUAUUUCUAUAAACACGAAGGUUAGUUUUUAGAAAAUGCACAACGAUUGUUCCUUUUCAGUCUGCUUGUUUAUGUCAAUUUUUGUGUAAUUUUAUGGAUGAGGAAUAAUAUCUUGAAAGGUAAAAUUGAUCAGACUUAAAACAUGUACGAAGUAAAAUUGAAAGGUCUCUUAGCAAGAGGAAAAACGAUAUUAAAAUUCA